GCUGGGAGCAGUGGCUCACGCCUGUAAUCCCAGCACUUUGGGAGGCCGAGGCGGGCAGAUCACUUGAGGUCAGGAGUUUGAGACCAGUGUGGCCAACAUGGUGAAAACCCAUCUCUGCUAAAAAUACAAAAAUUAGCCGGGCAUGGUGGUGUGCACCACCACGCCCAGCUAAUUUUUUGUGUGUGUUUUUAAUAGAGAAGGGGUUUCCAUGUUGUCAGGCUGGUCUCAAACUCCUGACCUCAAGUGAUCUACCCGCCUCAG
Molecule: non-coding RNA, 261 nt
Organism: Pan troglodytes (chimpanzee)
Lineage: Eukaryota; Metazoa; Chordata; Mammalia; Primates; Hominidae
Rfam family: Metazoan signal recognition particle RNA
About the family: The signal recognition particle (SRP) is a universally conserved ribonucleoprotein. It is involved in the co-translational targeting of proteins to membranes.
Source: Rfam